Cucumis melo (muskmelon) is the source of this 2901-nucleotide RNA transcript. It is a transcript of the gene named protein CDC73 homolog, with no coding region annotated. The record is from RefSeq and is a predicted model, not a curated record. The transcript has 6 exons. Lineage: Eukaryota; Viridiplantae; Streptophyta; Magnoliopsida; Cucurbitales; Cucurbitaceae.
GCCUUGAAGUUGAGCAAGAAGAACAACCCUUCUUCUUCUUCUUCUUCUUCCCCAUUUCACACUCUGACCAAAAAAACAAAAAGCUACUCCACUGUAAAUGGAUCCUCUCUCAGCUCUCCGAGAUUUCACCAUUCGAGGCGAGCUAGACAAAAUCGUCCGAGUCAACGACGAGUUCCGUUUCGCCUCCGAUUAUUCCUUCCCUUGCUCCGUCGAAACCGCUUACCGCUCCAAACAAGGCAAUCUUUACACACUCGAAACCCUCGUCUAUUACAUCAAAAAUCACCAUGUCAAGCACACUGAGUACCUUCAAAACGCUCGCACUCAGGGAAUUACUUCCGUCACUUUCCCUGACCGGAAGCCUCUGCUUGAUUAUCUUACCGGCAAGGUUUCCUCCUCCGAUGCCAUCGAGUUUCUUGUACCUCAGAAUCCCAAGUUUCCCGAUUUGCCCUCUGUGGAUGAGUAUCGUCCUGAAGACCCGGUGAUUGUUGGAGCAGCUAUGGAUGCGGUUGACGAGGACGAUGGUUUUAAGGAUUCUACUAAUGUUGAUUAUAUGACUAUGAUUAGAGCUAUUGAGAGACCGUUGAAGGACAGGGAAUCGUUGUUGGAAUGUAAGAAUAGGAAUUUCUAUAACGUGCUUGUGACGUCGACGAAGCGUGAGGAGGAGAGGCAGCGUCUUGAAUCUCAACAGAGGAAGGAUGGCUUGGUUGCUAAGAGUAGGCUGAUGGGUUCUGAUGACAGGGGUCUGGUGGGAUAUGGUGAUGAUUUGGGUUAUGAUGCGAAUCCGAAACCGAAAAUGCAUUUGAAGGGAGGAAAGAUUGGAGAAGGCGUGCCUAUAAUUCUGGUUCCGAGUGCUUUUCAGACUCUGAUCACAAUAUAUAAUGUGAAAGAGUUUUUGGAAGAUGGUGUGUUUAUACCCACGGAUGUUAAGGUCAAGCAGAUGAAAGGGGCGAGGCCUGAUUGUGUGACCGUGCAGAAGAAGUUCAGCAGGGAUAGAGAUAGAGUGGUGACCGCGUAUGAGGUUAGGGACAAGCCUUCAGCUCUCAAAUCAGAGGACUGGGACCGUGUUGUAGCUGUUUUCGUACUGGGAAAGGAAUGGCAGUUCAAAGAUUGGCCUUUCAAGGACCAUGUGGAGAUUUUCAAUAAAAUUAUUGGAUUUUAUAUGCGUUUUGAAGACGACAGUUUGGAAUCAGCUAAGAAUGUGAAGCAGUGGAAUGUUAAAAUUAUUUCGAUUAGCAAGAACAAGCGGCACCAAGACAGAGCUGCAGCAUUGGAGGUGUGGGAUAGGUUAGAAGAAUUUGUAAGGUCACGGUCUCAUUCUUGAUGUGAAUUCCAUGGCACAUUUCUUGCUGGUGGUGACUGUUGCUUCCUUCAGGGCCACGAGAUAGGCUUCACUGAGACUUUCUACUCCUUCCAACUUUAAUCCUUUUUUUCUCUUUGGUGACACAAGCAAUGACUGCAGGAAGGUAUGCAUUUUAGGCCGAGUAUUUCCAUCUUAAUCCAUCCUUGCUUCUGCUUCAGCCAUCAAUUUUAAGCAAUUUGUUUCUUCUUUCUUUGGUUUCAACCUUAAAUAUUAUUCCAACAAGUUUUUUCGCUUUCAUUCUUUUGAUUUGAGGCUGACAGUUUUUUUUUCUAAUUGGCAAUGUUGAUGGGGGGAAAAUUUUAACCAUACUGCCACGGGAUGAUGAGUUUGCUCCAAAAAAGAGGCUACUGAUAAGAAGAUCAGUACAACUUGAAAGCUGAAGCAUAUAUAGAAGCCAACAAGAUGGAGAAUAGUAGAGGUUUUGACAAAUGGAUGGAGCUUCCGUCUGAUGAGCCAUUGUCUGUUGAUGGAACAGUCUUAGAUCCAGUUCCUGCACAAGCAGUUAGGUACUUUAAUUGACCGUGUGAACGAACUGACCAAGCAUACAAUUAAAAGUAUCUUUUUUUAUGUUCAUACCUGAAGGAACAUUGUUUGAAGAGUCUGGUGCUCCUGCUGGAGAGCCGGCGGGAGAAUCAACUGGCAAUUUUUCAGCUGCUGACAGAUGGAGUCUGAACGUUGCAAGCUUGGGGCAGAGCUAGGGCCUGCGUUUGGUUGAUAUUCACCCCAAGCGACGCUCCACCACCAUUCAGGACCUGGCACAAGCACUGUGGCUGUGAACGGACAACACUUGAAAGCUGUGUGCAGCAUGAUUGUGAUGGGGUAGAGGAGUUCCCUGUAAUAUAAUUCAGGCAAGGUGCCAUACUGAUCAGCACAUUUGUACAGUCGGACUGUGCAGCUGCUCCUGCCCAGUGCACAGCAACGAUAACCGCAACUAGACCCGCCACCAUCCUUGUGUAUUCCAUUCUGCUAUAGAGGACUAAUACAAAAACUUCUGGGAAUGGUAAAGAGGAGAGUUAGUUUAUUUGAUGAGAACUCAGAAGGUAAGAGAGUUUGAUUUGUGAAGUUUUGGAGGAGAAUUGUGUGGUUUUUGUAGGGAAAUGGAAGGAAGAAAGGGACAAAUUGGAAAGAAGUUUGAUUUGGUGAACCACUCUUCCUACUUUCUUAACAGUUUUCUUUGUUGGAACUAUUGGAGGGUUAAGCUGUUCAAAGAUUGAGGGCUUUGAAACCUAAUAGUGCUUGAACUUGGGAAUUGUAUAUGGUGGUCGGCUAUCAUGGUCACCAACUCCUUCACUAGAAAUAAACUCAGAAACUUAAGAGUCAAGGUUGUAGACUUGGGUGGCUGAUGUUUAAUGGCGUGAAGGAAGCGUAAGACUUUGAUUUUCUCUCUUCGGGAAACUUUAGCUUUGUGUUUAGACUAAUGAUUGGCAUUACUUUCAGAUCAUGAUGUCAAUAACAAAGUAAAAGGAACAGACUCCCUGUUCACUGAUCAAAAUUGGUUCGGGCUCAAGUUGGAUAAAAAUAUUAUUGAACUUUUUCUUGUA